AAAUACAUUCCUUAAUGAACUUAGCCUGAUCUUAAACAACAAUUAAUCUAAAUAAGCAUUUUCAAAACUAUAACCAGUUUUACGAAUCCGGAUGUGGUCUGUACUCGGCUGCCGAUUCACGAAUCCUGCCUUAAACAACAAUUAAUCUAAAUAAGCAUUUUCAAAACUAUAAGCAGUUUCACGAAUUCAGGUGUGGUCUGUACUUGGCCGCCGAUUCACGAAUCAGGCCUUAAACAACAAUUAAUCUAAAUAAGCAUUUUCAAAACUAUAAGCAGUUUCCGCAUCUAAGACAAGUAUAUGCAUAGCAUGAAUUAAUACAAGCACACCAAAAGCUAACCCUACAGAAAUAAAAGCCUAUCUACAGAUUAAUAAAAAGAUCAUCACUUACCCAUCUAGCGUACUCUAAAAAUGGAAGUGGUUUCAAUCAGUUUCUCAAGAAACCCUAGCCCAAAAACAAAUAAAUAAAAGCAGAGAAAUGGAGAUUUAUUACCUUUUUGGAAAGUUGCUAGGAGUUGAGGGUUGACAAAGUUGCAGAGAAGAACAAGAAAAAUUAGAGAGAAAGAAGAGAAUAAUUAAAGAAAAAGAAGAACAAUAAUCGGAACAGGCGGACGGGUGGACGGCCUGACGCUGAUGGAAUGGAAUGGCUAUUAGUUUUAGUUUUAG
This 663-nucleotide long non-coding RNA is filed under the name Gossypium barbadense (sea-island cotton). RNAcentral's name for it is "long non-coding RNA (GBAR_LNC016560)". Lineage: Eukaryota; Viridiplantae; Streptophyta; Magnoliopsida; Malvales; Malvaceae. The record is from RNAcentral.